This 253-nucleotide ribosomal RNA is filed under the name uncultured bacterium. Its description in RNAcentral is "partial 16S ribosomal RNA". It matches the Rfam family "Bacterial small subunit ribosomal RNA", at positions 524 to 776 of the family's 1533-position model. The record is from RNAcentral.
UACGGAGGGUGCGAGCGUUAUUCGGAAUUACUGGGCGUAAAGCGCGUGUAGGCAGCUUGACAAGUCUGAUGUGAAAGCCCUGGGCUCAACCUGGGAAGUGCAUUGGAAACUGUCAGGCUUGAGUACCGGAGAGGAUGGGGGAAUUCCCGGUGUAGAGGUGAAAUUCGUAGAGAUCGGGAGGAAUACCAGUGGCGAAGGCGCCCAUCUGGACGGUAACUGACGCUGAGACGCGAAAGCGUGGGGAGCAAACAGG